This 92-nucleotide ribosomal RNA is filed under the name Salmonella enterica. RNAcentral's name for it is "partial 16S ribosomal RNA". It matches the Rfam family "Bacterial small subunit ribosomal RNA", at positions 1 to 88 of the family's 1533-position model. Lineage: Bacteria; Pseudomonadati; Pseudomonadota; Gammaproteobacteria; Enterobacterales; Enterobacteriaceae. The record is from RNAcentral. RNAcentral also lists the same sequence under 2 other names.
AAAUUGAAGAGUUUGAUCAUGGCUCAGAUUGAACGCUGGCGGCAGGCCUAACACAUGCAAGUCGAACGGUAGCAGGAAGCAGCUUGCUGCUU